GUGGCCGUGCAGUCCCACCGGGCGUCCGCGUCCAACAGGGCGUUUUCACCGAACCGGUCGCCGUCGGCGAGUACGGCGACGGCGACCUCGUCGCCGUACUUGCCGACGGAGGUCCGGCUGAUGCGGCCGUGGGCGAUCAGAUGGAUCUGCUCGGCGGGCGUACCGCGCUCGACCAGCACUUCGCCGGCGUGGAAGUCGCGCUGAACGCACCGGCCGGCGAUCGCGGUCAGCACCUCCACGUCCUCGAAGCCGCGCAGCAGGGCCAGUUCGCCGAGCUCGCGGGGGAUCACCCGGACGUCGGCACCAUCCUGAACGAACUCGAUGCGCCCGUCGCCGACCGUGUAGCUCAGCCGACGGUUCACCCGGUAGGUGCCGCCCUUGGCCUCCACCCAGGGGAGCGUCCGCAGCAGCCAGCGAGAGGUGAUCCCCUGCAUCUGCGGGGCGGACUUCGUCGUGGUGGCGAGGUUACGGGCAGCCGCCGUACUCAGACUGGACUGCCGAGACGGCUCCGG
This 512-nucleotide antisense RNA is filed under the name Streptomyces bingchenggensis BCW-1. RNAcentral describes it as "Saccharopolyspora sRNA 350". It matches the Rfam family "Saccharopolyspora sRNA 350". Lineage: Bacteria; Bacillati; Actinomycetota; Actinomycetes; Kitasatosporales; Streptomycetaceae. The record is from Rfam by way of RNAcentral.